Molecule: ribosomal RNA, 402 nt
Filed under: uncultured bacterium
Lineage: Bacteria
Description: bacterial SSU rRNA
Rfam family: Bacterial small subunit ribosomal RNA
Source: RNAcentral
UGGGGAAUAUUGCACAAUGGGCGCAAGCCUGAUGCAGCAACGCUGCGUGAGGGACGACGGCCUUCGGGUUGUAAACCUCUUUUGGCAGGGAAGAAGCGAAAGUGACGGUACCUGCAGAAAAAGCACCGGCUAACUACGUGCCAGCAGCCGCGGUGAUACGUAGGGUGCAAGCGUUGUCCGGAAUUAUUGGGCGUAAAGAGCUCGUAGGCGGUUUGUCGCGUCUGCUGUGAAAACCCGAGGCUCAACCUCGGGCCUGCAGUGGGUACGGGCAAACUAGAGUGCGGUAGGGGAGAUUGGAAUUCCUGGGGUAGCGGUGGAAUGCGCAGAUAUCAGGAGGAACACCGAUGGCGAAGGCAGAUCUCUGGGCCGUAACUGACGCUGAGGAGCGAAAGCAUGGGGAGC